RNAcentral lists this long non-coding RNA (256 nucleotides) under Phoenix dactylifera (date palm). RNAcentral describes it as "long non-coding RNA (PDAC_LNC018312)". Lineage: Eukaryota; Viridiplantae; Streptophyta; Magnoliopsida; Arecales; Arecaceae. The record is from RNAcentral.
GUUCCAAUGGCAAUCCUUGUCGGCAUGAACCUUACCACAUCUGGAACAUUUAUUGAUAUUCAUCUGCUUAGGGUUGUCACUCGCUGAUUUCUUGUUUGAACUCUCGGCGUUUUCAUUGCUCUGCCCCUGAAAUUCAUUUGACCUGUUCCUCUUCUUUUGAUUCCUUUCCCUUUCCAACCGUUCAUCAUUAACUUUCCUUUCAAUUAUUAAAGCCUUAUUUACCACAGCUGCAUAAGUAGUCAAUUCAUAAGGUACC